RNAcentral lists this transfer-messenger RNA (357 nucleotides) under Rubinisphaera italica. RNAcentral's name for it is "Planctomycetes bacterium Pan54 transfer-messenger RNA, SsrA". It matches the Rfam family "transfer-messenger RNA". Rfam says of the family: Bacterial tmRNA, also known as 10Sa RNA or SsrA, is named for its dual tRNA and mRNA-like properties. Its role is to liberate the mRNA from a stalled ribosome. The record is from RNAcentral. Lineage: Bacteria; Pseudomonadati; Planctomycetota; Planctomycetia; Planctomycetales; Planctomycetaceae.
GGGGGCGAUUGGAAUCGACUGGUUCUCCGUAAGUUGAGGUGGCGUGUCGUGGUUGAUCAGUUGGCCACGUAAAAAACUGAUCACAAAAUUAUCUGCCGAAAAGCAGUUUGCUAUGGUAGCUUAAUUUAGCUGCCCGGAUUUAGGAAUCCCUGUCUGAGGAGUCCGAAAAUCCGCUUAACAAAAUCAGACUGGUGUCGAGUCAAUGGUGACUACGCUCGACAUGAGACCUCGUAGACACCUGGCUUUCAAAGGCUUUGGAUGUUGAGCCCGAGAAAGCGAGACCCAAUCAAUAUUCUACACACGUAGAGGCCGAAACCGAGGGCUCACAGGACGGGGGUUCAAUCCCCCCCGCCUCCA